Fusarium torulosum is the source of this 109-nucleotide non-coding RNA. The record is from the annotation of a GenBank genome assembly. NCBI's taxonomy places the organism in Eukaryota, Fungi, Ascomycota, Sordariomycetes, Hypocreales, Nectriaceae.
GCCAAGAUGGCCGAGUGGUUAAGGCGCUGCAUUCAAGACCCUGUCUUAUCCAUUUACAUGGAAAUUCGCAGUAACGGAAGUUGCUUGGGUUCGAAUCCCAAUCCUGGCA